This 227-nucleotide long non-coding RNA is filed under the name Carica papaya (papaya). Its description in RNAcentral is "long non-coding RNA (CPAP_LNC004498)". Lineage: Eukaryota; Viridiplantae; Streptophyta; Magnoliopsida; Brassicales; Caricaceae. The record is from RNAcentral.
UAAUCGAAUUAGAGAACACAAACUGUUAAUAUUGCUACUGCUGCUACUAAUAGUUUCUUUUCUUAAAAAACUAUUAUGGUUUCAGCCGAUGAGUAUGCAAAAUUCUCUCAAUCUCAAGAGUUUUUGAAAGAAUAUAUACCAACCACUACUUCUGCUGAAUCAAGUCAAAGAUGUCUUAUCUCCUAAUUAAACAAAUUGAUAAUUGAUUCUGGGGCUACAGAUCACAU